UGGGGAAUAUUGGACAAUGGGCGCAAGCCUGAUCCAGCCAUGCCGCGUGAGUGACGAAGGUCUUCGGAUUGUAAAGCUCUUUUAGCAGGGAAGAUAAUGACGGUACCUGCAGAAUAAGCCCCGGCUAACUUCGUGCCAGCAGCCGCGGUAAUACGAAGGGGGCUAGCGUUGUUCGGAAUUACUGGGCGUAAAGCGCACGUAGGUGGAUUGAUAAGUUAGAGGUGAAAUCCCGGGGCUCAACCUCGGAACUGCCUUUGAUACUGUUAGUCUCGAGUCCGAUAGAGGUGAGUGGAAUUCCUAGUGUAGAGGUGAAAUUCGUAGAUAUUAGGAAGAACACCAGUGGCGAAGGCGGCUCACUGGAUCGGUACUGACGCUGAGGUGCGAAAGCGUGGGGAGCAAACAGGAUUAGAUACCCCCGUAGUCCCUGAGCGGGCUGGCAAGGCGCAU
This 447-nucleotide ribosomal RNA is filed under the name uncultured bacterium. RNAcentral's name for it is "bacterial SSU rRNA". It matches the Rfam family "Bacterial small subunit ribosomal RNA", at positions 355 to 825 of the family's 1533-position model. The record is from RNAcentral.